UUAUAGGCAUCAAACAACAUAAUCCUUGCACAACGGAAUGAGGGGGGGUUGACGUUUUUCGCAGAUAAAGUUUUCAUUCCUUUGUGUGAAAAUUAUGUCAUAGCAAUAGAACAAUGAGCCCCUUGAGGCUAAUUAAAGUUUUACUCAUUACACAACUUACUAAACAAACAUACUUGACCUUUGCUAACUACAACAAAAUCUUCGCAAAAGGAAUAAAGGGGGGGUUGACAUUUUUUCAAGGAAAAAACAGCAUUUAUUCCUAUAUGCUACGAUUUUUGUUUCAAGUCAGAAUGACAAUUCGAUUACAUGACUAGGUUUCGAACCUCAAAACUCUGCAGCAUCACACACAUAGGCAAAGUCAAAC
This 364-nucleotide long non-coding RNA is filed under the name Setaria viridis. RNAcentral's name for it is "long non-coding RNA (SVIR_LNC004910)". The record is from RNAcentral. Lineage: Eukaryota; Viridiplantae; Streptophyta; Magnoliopsida; Poales; Poaceae.